UCAGCCAUAUUAUAAACCCUACAUUUAAAAAAUUAAUUUAAUGUUCCUUGAACAGAACACUUGUAUUCUUCAAGACGCUGUGCAUCGUGAAUUGACUUAAUAAUAAGUUAUCAUUAUUUUAUAAAAUAGUAAUCAUUGUCAUUUUUUCCUCAGCUGAUUAAAAUGAAGUUCGCAGUUCUCCUUCUCGUGGUCCUGGUGUGUCUGUUAAAUCUCAUCGUUGAAUCUGAAAGUUGUUGUCAAAAUCAUGGUGAAAGCUGUGGUCAUGGCACCCAUUGCUGCACUUUUCUUACGUGUAACCACAAGAGCACAGGGGGUACUUGUGGUUACCGUUUAGAAGAAGCGAAGCGGUAAAGUUCAUAAACCAAGCACACCGGCUGAGGCAGUCGCUAGUGAGAGGUUUUUAAAAGAAUAAAAGAGACUUCCAAAAAAAAAUAUUGAUCAUUGA
Molecule: long non-coding RNA, 445 nt
Organism: Physella acuta
Lineage: Eukaryota; Metazoa; Mollusca; Gastropoda; Physidae
Source: RefSeq, a predicted model, not a curated record